GACGGAAGGUGCAAGCGUUGCUCGGAAUCACUGGGCGUAAAGGGCGUGUAGGCGGUAUGCUAAGUCUGGCGUGAAAGCUCUCGGCUAAACCGGGAGAGGUCGUUGGAUACUGGCAAACUAGAGGAUGGUAGAGGCGUGUGGAAUUCCGGGUGUAGUGGUGAAAUGCGUAGAGAUCCGGAGGAACACCAGUGGCGAAGGCGACACGCUGGGCCAUACCUGACGCUAAAGCGCGACAGCAUGGGGAGCAAACGGG
RNAcentral lists this ribosomal RNA (253 nucleotides) under uncultured bacterium. RNAcentral's name for it is "partial 16S ribosomal RNA". It matches the Rfam family "Bacterial small subunit ribosomal RNA", at positions 524 to 776 of the family's 1533-position model. The record is from RNAcentral.